RNAcentral lists this ribosomal RNA (464 nucleotides) under Vreelandella stevensii. RNAcentral describes it as "partial 16S ribosomal RNA". It matches the Rfam family "Bacterial small subunit ribosomal RNA", at positions 338 to 795 of the family's 1533-position model. The record is from RNAcentral. Lineage: Bacteria; Pseudomonadati; Pseudomonadota; Gammaproteobacteria; Oceanospirillales; Halomonadaceae.
CCUACGGGCGGCUGCAGUGGGGAAUAUUGGACAAUGGGGGGAACCCUGAUCCAGCCAUGCCGCGUGUGUGAAGAAGGCCUCGGGUUGUAAAGCACUUUCAGUGAGGAAGAACGCCUGGUGGUUAAUACCCAUCAGGAAAGACAUCACUCACAGAAGAAGCACCGGCUAACUCCGUGCCAGCAGCCGCGGUAAUACGGAGGGUGCGAGCGUUAAUCGGAAUUACUGGGCGUAAAGCGCGCGUAGGUGGCUUGAUAAGCCGGUUGUGAAAGCCCCGGGCUCAACCUGGGAACGGCAUCCGGAACUGUCAAGCUAGAGUGCAGGAGAGGAAGGUAGAAUUCCCGGUGUAGCGGUGAAAUGCGUAGAGAUCGGGAGGAAUACCAGUGGCGAAGGCGGCCUUCUGGACUGACACUGACACUGAGGUGCGAAAGCGUGGGUAGCAAACAGGAUUAGAUACCCCUGUAGUC